ACAAAACCCAAGCAGGACCAGCGAACCUCAGACCGCCCUUCACAUCCCCGCUGCGAGGCCCGCGGGCUGUGGAAUCUCGCACGUCACCUGGCCCCAGCAGGGCAGCCAGCUGAGGGCUUGCUUUUCUUUUCUUUUUUGAAGUAAAGGAUGCAUCUCGGCUGCAGGGCUUUUGCCAGCGUCUACACUGACAGGAACCGGCCAACUUCAGGACCCAAAUGAGCAUCUUAAUUUAUUGAUGCAAAACAGGAGAAUAGAGAAAACUAUCAGGAUGAAUUCUGAACAGCUUCACUUGGAGGUCCAAGAGCAAGGAGCAAUUCACAUGUUAAAAGCAGGAGUCAUGGAAUCUUCACCUCUCACUUCUGGCCCGUACUCCAGCUGGCUGAAUGGCACCACUCUCCCCAAAUCAGUAUUCUAAGCCUGAAUUUUUGGUUUGCCUUGACUAUCCUCUUUUCCUUAACCUCCACCUCACUAAUGAUCUUAUUUCUGCCUUUUCUUCAAAUAAUUGUGGUCCUCCGCACUUACACCCCUACUUCAUUUCAGGUACUUCUCAUCUCUCUCUGAAGGCUGUUCCCACCCCCAACAGGCUUUCCUGUUUGCAGUCAUCCUGCAUAUCUGUUCUUCUCAUCAUCACUAGAGUGCAUGAGUGACAUAAGACUUACCUCUGACCAUGUCACUGCUCAGCCUAAAACCACUGAAAGCUUCACACAUGAGAUAAAUGCACGCAAAGAUUCCUCAGAAGUAGCUCUUUGGAUCUUCAGAUGUGAAAUGGAUCAUUCCUCAAUCUGUAAUAGAAGCUUCUGUGAAGCUUUGCAAUCAAACCUGAGAAGUCAAGGUGAAAUUGAAGGAAGGAUGGAAAACCUCUAUGUGUUGCAUUUUGUAGCAUCCUAAACAGAAGGAUAUUGCAGGGAGCUGAUUCUGCUUUGAUCCUUGUGCUUGUUGUCAAAGCGCUUGGGAUUGAAGAGACUGUUGGCUACAAUUGACUGUGACAAUUAGGAGAUGAUCAGAGCCCUAGAGUGGAGCACUUAAAGGUUUUGCAUUUAAAACACUCUUGGAGCACUAACUCUUUUUAAGGAGGUAAUGAGUGAAUAAAUGAAAAGGCAGAGAUUAUUCACCAUUCUAAAAGGAGAUUGUCAGACCAUUUCUACUUGACUAAAAUUGUUUUUGAAGAUCUAGUCCCAGAGCCUUCUCCAGAGCUGCAGAAGCCUACUCAAUCCUUCCUCAGCAGCGAAGAAUGCCCCCAAAACAGCCCUCAACCAGUGGGAG
Molecule: long non-coding RNA, 1263 nt
Organism: Heterocephalus glaber (naked mole-rat)
Lineage: Eukaryota; Metazoa; Chordata; Mammalia; Rodentia; Bathyergidae
Source: Ensembl